AACGAACGCUGGCGGCAUGCCUAACACAUGCAAGUCGAACGAGAUCUUCGGGUCUAGUGGCGCACGGGUGCGUAACGCGUGGGAAUCUGCCCUUUGGUUCGGAAUAACAGUUGGAAACGACUGCUAAUACCGGAUGAUGACGAAAGUCCAAAGAUUUAUCGCCAGAGGAUGAGCCCGCGUAGGAUCAGCUAGUUGGUGUGGUAAAGGCGCACCAAGGCGACGAUCCUUAGCUGGUCUGAGAGGAUGAUCAGCCACACUGGGACUGAGACACGGCCCAGACUCCUACGGGAGGCAGCAGUGGGGAAUAUUGGACAAUGGGCGAAAGCUUGAUCCAGCAAUGCCGCGUGAGUGAUGAAGGCCUUAGGGUUGUAAAGCUCUUUUACCCGGGAUGAUAAUGACAGUACCGGGAGAAUAAGCUCCGGCUAACUCCGUGCCAGCCGCCGCGGUAA
Molecule: ribosomal RNA, 449 nt
Filed under: uncultured bacterium
Lineage: Bacteria
Description: partial 16S ribosomal RNA
Rfam family: Bacterial small subunit ribosomal RNA
Source: RNAcentral